CGGAAUUUGUGGUGUAGCGGUGAAAUGCAUAGAUAUCACAAGGAACUCCAAUUGCGAAGGCAGCUCACUGGGGUAUAACUGACGCUGAGGCACGAAGGUGCGGGUAUCAAACAGGAUUAGAUACCCUGGUAGUCCGCACAGUAAACGAUGAAUACUCGCUGUUUGCGAUAUACAGUAAGCGGCCAAGCGAAAGCAUUAAGUAUUCCACCUGGGGAGUACGCCGGCAACGGUGAAACUCAAAGGAAUUGACGGGGGCCCGCACAAGCGGAGGAACACGUGGUUUAAUUCGAUGAUACGCGAGGAACCUUACCUGGGCUUAAAUUGCAAUUGACGGAGGCCGAAACGUCUCUUUCUUCGGACAAUUGUGAAGGUGCUGCAUGGUUGUCGUCAGCUCGUGCCGUGAGGUGUCGGCUUAAGUGCCAUAACGAGCGCAACCCUCAUUAUUAGUUACUAACAGGUUAAGCUGAGGACUCUAAUAAGACUGCCGUCGUAAGAUGUGAGGAAGGUGGGGAUGACGUCAAAUCAGCACGGCCCUUACGUCCAGGGCCACACACGUGUUACAAUGGGUGAAACAGAGGGCAGCUACCUAGCGAUAGGAUGCUAAUCCCAUAAAAUCACUCUCAGUUCGGAUUGAAGUCUGCAACUCGACUUCAUGAAGCUGGAUUCGCUAGUAAUCGCGCAUCAGCCACGGCGCGGUGAAUACGUUCCCGGGCCUUGUACACACCGCCCGUCAAGCCAUGGGAGCUGGGGGUACCUGAAGUACGUAACCGCAAGGAGCGUCCUAGGGUAAAUCUGGUGACUGGGGCUAAGUCGUAACAAGGUAACCCGAAAGGGCGAAUUCGUAACUCG
This 849-nucleotide ribosomal RNA is filed under the name uncultured bacterium. RNAcentral's name for it is "bacterial SSU rRNA". It matches the Rfam family "Bacterial small subunit ribosomal RNA", at positions 662 to 1533 of the family's 1533-position model. The record is from RNAcentral.